UUUAGAGGCUGUAGAGGCAGUAUCAGAGGCUAAAGAGCGAUAUCCAGCUUCUACUAUUUCCAUUCAUUAUUCUCUUUAUAAAGGAGAGUCAGCUGAUGGAGUCAAAACUACCACUGAACCACCCAUACAAGUAUGUAACCAAGCCCGACCCAACCCCCACUUCAAGUUCAGAAUAAGCCUACGAUGGGGCUGGAUCAGAUGAUGCAAUCGGUACCUAUUUCUUUGAUACCGGAAUUAGGCCUUGAUUCUUUAUAUCUUAUUGAUUAGUUAGUUCUUUUCCUCUACCUC
This 288-nucleotide long non-coding RNA is filed under the name Musa acuminata (dwarf banana). RNAcentral describes it as "long non-coding RNA (MACU_LNC010086)". The record is from RNAcentral. Lineage: Eukaryota; Viridiplantae; Streptophyta; Magnoliopsida; Zingiberales; Musaceae.